GCUUACGGCCAUACCAACCAUUCUGCGCCCGAUCUCGUCUGAUCUUGGAAGCUAAGCAGCGUGGGCCUGGUUAGUACUUGUAUGGGAGACUGCUUGGGAAUACCAGGUGCUGUAAGCU
Molecule: ribosomal RNA, 118 nt
Filed under: Sinocyclocheilus anshuiensis
Lineage: Eukaryota; Metazoa; Chordata; Actinopteri; Cypriniformes; Cyprinidae
Source: RNAcentral